Molecule: long non-coding RNA, 492 nt
Organism: Myotis daubentonii (Daubenton's bat)
Lineage: Eukaryota; Metazoa; Chordata; Mammalia; Chiroptera; Vespertilionidae
Exons: 2
Source: RefSeq, a predicted model, not a curated record
GUUUCCUGAAAACGGCUGCCUUGAACCCGGCCACACUCCUCCCUGACGAGGAGGCAGAGGCCCCUUUGCAUGACUGCGAGGAGACACUGACUGCCCUCACUUCCCUCCGAGAGGACCUCGUGGACCAGCCCCUGCAGAAUCCGGAUGAGACCCUCUACACGGAAGGGAGCAGCUUCGUAGAAGGAGUCCUUACAGGCUUUGCAGAGCAGCGCCAGGUCGGCACAACGGCUGGUGAGAGCCGUACGAGAGGAGGACACACCGAGAACCAGUCCAACGCAGCCUGCAUUCUCUCCGGGUGAUCUCGUCUGGGUAAAAUGCCACGCCCCUGGCAGCCUGGAACCUACAUGGGAUGGACCCUACCAGGUGCUGCCGAGCACUCCAACCGCCAUCAGAGUUGCAGGAAAGAGGCACUGGAUCCAUCGUACGCAGGUUAAGAAGGCAAACAACAGCAUUGAGGGAUGGCGGGUCCAGAGGACCAGAGACCCGCUAAAG